GAGUUUGAUCUUGGCUCAGAUUGAACGCUGGCGGCAUGCCUUACACAUGCAAGUCGAACGGCAGCAUGAUCUAGCUUGCUAGAUUGAUGGCGAGUGGCGAACGGGUGAGUAAUACAUCGGAACGUGCCCUGUAGUGGGGGAUAACUAGUCGAAAGAUUAGCUAAUACCGCAUACGACCUGAGGGUGAAAGUGGGGGACCGCAAGGCCUCAUGCUAUAGGAGCGGCCGAUGUCUGAUUAGCUAGUUGGUGGGGUAAAGGCCCACCAAGGCGACGAUCAGUAGCUGGUCUGAGAGGACGAUCAGCCACACUGGGACUGAGACACGGCCCAGACUCCUACGGGAGGCAGCAGUGGGGAAUUUUGGACAAUGGGCGAAAGCCUGAUCCAGCAAUGCCGCGUGUGUGAAGAAGGCCUCGGUGUAG
RNAcentral lists this ribosomal RNA (420 nucleotides) under uncultured microorganism. RNAcentral describes it as "bacterial SSU rRNA". It matches the Rfam family "Bacterial small subunit ribosomal RNA", at positions 9 to 425 of the family's 1533-position model. The record is from RNAcentral.